UGCCUCCCAGGGCAGAGAGGACCGCAGUCCAGUCCUCAACCUGUGCGAAAGGUUUGGGGAAAUGACAACUGAGUUUCCAGCACACGUCAGUGCAAAGCAGCUUAUUCCAGGUGCCCAGCAGCCCCACGUGGCCAGUGGCCACCACACUGAAGCGCAGCUCGGAGGACUCUGACUGCCCUGAGCUGAGGGAGGUGACGGGUCUGAAACACUCUUUUCUGCCAGAAGUUAGGGGACACCUCCUCCCUCCCAACAGCUCUCUUCAGGCCCAAGAGUGAGAGAUGGUGCCUCUAGAGGGCAGGGGCUACAAGAACAAAGUGUCCACAGGUUUCCCUGCUGCCCACCUGCUGCCCAUCGUCUUUCCAGAGAUCAGAAAAUGAACAAAGGAUGAUGGGGCCCCCAAAAGGAGGAAACCCAGUGUCUUCAGAUCUGUCCACAGCCUUGACCUACGAAGUUUAGAUAUGGAGGGAAUAGAUUAAAGGCACACUUACUUUGCUAUUUGGCCUUGACCCUAACGGUCAGGCUGUGUACAUUUGUUUCCUCACAUGCUGUGGAGGACUGCGUAGUUUAAGCACCAAUUACAUGCAGACAUGUCUACAUGCAUUUCUGUGUAACUCGAUGCCAUCAAGCAAGAGGCCCAACUUUAAAUAAGAGGAAAAGAAAAUCAGCAACUGUAGGGUGUCUUCUGUUUGCAGGCUAGCACAGACUUGCUCUUAUGGAAAUGGUAGAAUUCUGAAAGAAAAACAAAGCAUUCAAGAACUUUUGAGCCUAAGCCCCAAGCUGGCACACUGUUAUGUUUGCAGUCUUCUAUUGGCCACAGCAAAUAAGGCCAGCUGAGAUCCAAGGUUUGGGAAACAGAGUCUGCUUCUUAAUGAGAACAUCUGUACAAGCACACUGCAAAGGGUCUGGAUACAGGGAAGGAUGAUGAAUUGAUGCCAUUUUUGCAAGAUGGAUCCAUUUCAACAAUGGCUUCAGAGAGAAGAUGAAGAAACAAAUGAGGGCCUGUUGAAGCCUAAUGGGGUAAGGGGAAUUUGAGAUUGUGGAAGAAUGGCAGCCAGAUCAUGAGGUCAAGAGAUCGAGAUCAUCCUGG
This 1087-nucleotide long non-coding RNA is filed under the name Homo sapiens (human). Its description in RNAcentral is "HSALNT0198715". The record is from RNAcentral. Lineage: Eukaryota; Metazoa; Chordata; Mammalia; Primates; Hominidae.